This is a long non-coding RNA of Ornithodoros turicata, 912 nucleotides long. RefSeq lists it as uncharacterized. The transcript is spliced from 3 exons. The record is from RefSeq and is a predicted model, not a curated record. Lineage: Eukaryota; Metazoa; Arthropoda; Arachnida; Ixodida; Argasidae.
UCACGAGCAGGCUUUGUUUGUAGGUGGGGUUGCCCUGCGCACUUCGCUGGUGACACCGUCUGCGUCUUUGCCUGUCGUCUGCUACGGAAUACCUUGUGGCUCAGCAGCAGGAUAUUCUCCACGGUAGCAGUGCACGAAGAGACGUAAAGGGCAGCAGGAAGCGUCUUUCGCGUCUUCCGCUGGGGUGUUCUGGAAAACGCCGUUCGUGCCGAUACACGCGGUAAAUAGGUGCCCUCGGCGACACAGCUAGCAGACCCUACGUCACGCGAUCGAUUCAUAAAGGGCCGACACUCCUGGGCACAACGGCACAUCCUGCUGUCAAGUGCUGCAUUAGACACAGGAAGUGGUUAUCAAUGAAAGCACUCUCCUUCACGCAAGCACGUCUGACCUGUCCGACAGUUGCAACAGACUUUUGCAUAUCAUCCAGCAAUUUGGCCUCCUAUUAACAAAUGGAGAAAGCCUCACGAAAAAAAGAUCUGCACAAAAACAACCCAAGACGCACAACUGCCACUGAAUAUGCAAUCUAUCAGCAUCCAGUGGUGGGAUCGGAGAUAGGUGAUCUGCUUCGACCGAUAUGACGGGCACCGGUGCCGCAUUUAGCCGAGCUUCCCGCGCUGCACUGCAUGCGGUCUUAUUGCCACUGAUGCUAACAUGACCACCAAUCCGUUGUAAGGCGAUGCGGUGUAUCCUAUCUGGUAUAUCCACCCAACAUCUAUACGCCCAGAGGAGGUCUCACACGGUUGGUGCAGGAGAUCGAUGUGAUGUCCAAGUGAGAAGAAAGAAGAUAAUUCUGGCAACGGGGCAAUGCUCGAGAAGAUAAUGUCAGUUUGAAAUUGGACGGCGAGUGAAGUGGUUAGCCUCUGAGGUACGGGCGAGUAUCACCACAAUCGUCAAAUCAGGGAACUUGAUAGU